RNAcentral lists this ribosomal RNA (231 nucleotides) under uncultured bacterium. Its description in RNAcentral is "partial 16S ribosomal RNA". It matches the Rfam family "Bacterial small subunit ribosomal RNA", at positions 99 to 334 of the family's 1533-position model. The record is from RNAcentral.
CGGACGGGUGGGUAAUGUCUGGGAAACUGCCCGAUGGAGGGGGAUAACUACUGGAAACGGUAGCUAAUACCGCAUAACGUCGCAAGACCAAGAGGGGACCGUUCGGGCCUCUUGCCAUCGGAUGUGCCCAGAUGGGAUUAGCUAGUAGGUGGGGUAACGGCUCACCUAGGCGACGAUCCCUAGCUGGUCUGAGAGGAUGACCAGCCACACUGGAACUGAGACACGGUCCAG